This 433-nucleotide ribosomal RNA is filed under the name uncultured bacterium. RNAcentral's name for it is "partial 16S ribosomal RNA". It matches the Rfam family "Bacterial small subunit ribosomal RNA", at positions 29 to 507 of the family's 1533-position model. The record is from RNAcentral.
AACGAACGCUGGCGGCAGGCCUAACACAUGCAAGUCGAGCGAGGACUUCGGUCCUAGCGGCGGACGGGUGAGUAACGCGUGGGAACGUGCCCUUUGCUUCGGAAUAGCCCUGGGAAACUGGGAGUAAUACCGGAUGAGCCCUUUGGGGGAAAGAUUUAUCGGCGAAGGAUCGGCCCGCGUUGGAUUAGGUAGUUGGUGGGGUAAUGGCCUACCAAGCCGACGAUCCAUAGCUGGUUUGAGAGGAUGAUCAGCCACACUGGGACUGAGACACGGCCCAGACUCCUACGGGAAGCAGCAGUGGGGAAUCUUAGACAAUGGGGGAGACCCUGAUCUAGCCAUGCCGCGUGAGCGAUGAAGGCCUUAGGGUUGUAAAGCUCUUUCAGCUGGGAAGAUAAUGACGGUACCAGCAGAAGAAGCCCCGGCUAACUCCGUG